This 464-nucleotide ribosomal RNA is filed under the name uncultured bacterium. RNAcentral describes it as "partial 16S ribosomal RNA". It matches the Rfam family "Bacterial small subunit ribosomal RNA", at positions 28 to 507 of the family's 1533-position model. The record is from RNAcentral.
GACGAACGCUGGCGGCGUGCUUAACACAUGCAAGUCGAACGGAAAGGCCCCUUUGUUGGUACGCGAGUGGCUAACGGGUGGGUAACACGUGAGUAACCUGCCCUUGCCUUCGGGAUAACUUCAUGAAACUGGGGCUAAUACCUGAUAGGAAUCCUUUCUGCAUGGUUGGGGGUGGAAAGCUUCGGCGGGUUUUGGUGGACUCGCGGCUUAUCAGCUUGUUGGUGGGGUAGGGGCUUACCAAGGCUUUGACGGGUGGCCGGCCUGAGAGGGGGACCGGCCACAUUGGGAUGGAGAUACGGCCCAGACUCCUACGGGAGGCAGCAGUGGGGAAUUUUGCAAAAUGGGCGGAAGCCUGAUGCAGCAACGCCGCGUGCGGGAUUAAGGCCUUCGGGUUGUAAACCGCUUUCACCAGGGGCGAAGCGUGAGGGACGGGAAUGUGUAAAGAAACCCCCGCUAACUACGUG